AGUGGGGAAUCUUGGACAAUGGGCGCAAGCCUGAUCCAGCCAUGCCGCGUGAGUGAAGAAGGCCUUAGGGUUGUAAAGCUCUUUUGCCAGGGACGAUAAUGACGGUACCUGGAGAAUAAGCCCCGGCAAACUUCGUGCCAGCAGCCGCGGUAAUACGAAGGGGGCUAGCGUUGUUCGGAAUUACUGGGCGUAAAGCGCACGUAGGCGGGUUGUUAAGUCAGGGGUGAAAUCCCGGAGCUCAACUCCGGAACUGCCUUUGAUACUGGCAAUCUAGAGACUGGAAGAGGUUAGUGGAAUUCCCAGUGUAGAGGUGAAAUUCGUAGAUAUUGGGAAGAACACCAGUGGCGAAGGCGGCUAACUGGUCCAGUACUGACGCUGAGGUGCGAAAGCGUGGGGAGCAAA
RNAcentral lists this ribosomal RNA (402 nucleotides) under uncultured Nordella sp. RNAcentral describes it as "bacterial SSU rRNA". It matches the Rfam family "Bacterial small subunit ribosomal RNA", at positions 353 to 772 of the family's 1533-position model. The record is from RNAcentral. Lineage: Bacteria; Pseudomonadati; Pseudomonadota; Alphaproteobacteria; Hyphomicrobiales.